Molecule: ribosomal RNA, 658 nt
Filed under: Escherichia coli
Lineage: Bacteria; Pseudomonadati; Pseudomonadota; Gammaproteobacteria; Enterobacterales; Enterobacteriaceae
Description: bacterial SSU rRNA
Rfam family: Bacterial small subunit ribosomal RNA
Source: RNAcentral
AAAUUGAAGAGUUUGAUCAUGGCUCAGAUUGAACGCUGGCGGCAGGCCUAACACAUGCAAGUCGAACGGUAACAGGAAGCAGCUUGCUGCUUUGCUGACGAGUGGCGGACGGGUGAGUAAUGUCUGGGAAACUGCCUGGUGGAGGGGGAUAACUACUGGAAACGGUAGCUAAUACCGCAUAACGUCGCAAGACCAAAGAGGGGGACCUUCGGGCCUCUUGCCAUCGGAUGUGCCCAGAUGGGAUUAGCUAGUAGGUGGGGUAACGGCUCACCUAGGCGACGAUCCCUAGCUGGUCUGAGAGGAUGACCAGCCACACUGGAACUGAGACACGGUCCAGACUCCUACGGGAGGCAGCAGUGGGGAAUAUUGCACAAUGGGCGCAAGCCUGAUGCAGCCAUGCCGCGUGUAUGAAGAAGGCCUUCGGGUUGUAAAGUACUUUCAGCGGGGAGGAAGGGAGUAAAGUUAAUACCUUUGCUCAUUGACGUUACCCGCAGAAGAAGCACCGGCUAACUCCGUGCCAGCAGCCGCGGUAAUACGGAGGGUGCAAGCGUUAAUCGGAAUUACUGGGCGUAAAGCGCACGCAGGCGGUUUGUUAAGUCAGAUGUGAAAUCCCCGGGCUCAACCUGGGAACUGCAUCUGAUACUGGCAAGCUUGAGUC